AGGAAAUAAGAGUAUAUUCAUUCUUAUCAUUAGAUAGCCUGUAGGCUUAGCGUUUUCCAAAUUUACAUCAAUGAGGAACUAAACUAUUAACGUAUUACAUAGAGUCACAUAAUACCUCAAAUAAUACUUACAACACUUCUCCUUAGAUGUGCAACAAUCAAUGGUAGUUGCCUCAAUAAAACUUUGCUUGGAAAACCCAAUGGAAUAAAACCUAGUCGAAGGGAAAAAAAGCACAACGCGUUUAUUUAUCCAUUAUAGCAUAUUGUCAGACUCCCCCUAAUGAAUAACUCCGCUAGAUACAUGACUCUACCUGAUGAUUAUAAGUCUUGAUUCAACUAGUCAUCAUUGUCAAGUUUGAAGUAAUGUGGCUCGGCCUUCAAGAAAUUAAGUUUGAGUAGAACUUGACUUGGGGAACUGUGAAAGUUUAUUAGAAAUUGACAACAGCCAUUUGUGUUCCUGCAAAUAACAAAUAAAUACAAAAUAAAAUCUAAAAUCUAAAAUAAACUAAGAGUAGUAUAAACUUCAUUGUAAGUAUGAACCAUAUAUACAAAUAGCCUUGUAGGCUCUUCAAGAAUCAUACUAAAACUCUUAGCUCUUUAAAGAGUAUGUUGCAACAAUAUAAUUUUAUGUUCGAACUAACAAAAGUACUCGUUGAGGCAAUUUAUAACAAAUUUAUCUAAAAUAGGUACUGAGUACAUAUUUUGAUCUUUAUGCUCUUAAAGUGAAAUCAUUAAAUAAGAAUUUCAUAGCAUUUUCCAUUCAUUAAGAAAUAGCUUUGAAAGCUAGACUAAAACUUAAAAAUCAAGUAGUAUGCAAUCUCCACAUGUCACAAGUCUCACAUUCAAGAUAACACUAUACUUAUAGAAAUGUGAUUGCACCUACAAUAAGAGAUAGGUCUCUACUAAGAAGCCUAUGCCAUACAAUAAUUUUAUUUCACUUUAAUACGAACGCCCAAGAAUAACUUUUGGUGUUUAAACUAUAGGUUCCCUUAUUCCACGUUUUCAAUGCCUCUUAAAAUGGAAUUUGCCUCUUUCCAAUUUGGCCUACCCUUUUACAAUUUGUCGAAAUUUAAUCAGAAAACGUGACUGAAUAGCCCUUGAUGAUGUGAGUAGCUACUAUAAUAAAAAUUAUCGUGUAUCAUCAAUUUGUGAUCUAACAAUCCUCAUGUGGGUGUGCAUGCUUAAUUUAUAAUUAUUUUAUUGCUUGGGUACAAUGCAUUUCGAGGCUUCUAUUGUCACGUCUAGGACAAACAUCUUAAGAUGAAUUGCUUAAAGAGUUGGGUCAUGCCCUCUUAUGGAGAGUUAUUUCAAUUAGGGCUUGAAGUUUAUUAAUCUCCACUUAUGAGAAGUUCAAAGUGUGUAUAUGUGUGUGUGUGUGUAAUGCCUUUAGGCAGGCAACAGAUUAAUCUACAUUACUUAUGAGACAAGAGUGGAUGUGUCAACGCUGAUUCACGACGUUCUAAACUGUCAUGUCUCCCCCUAACAUUGGGAAUAUUGUCUCACCAAAUUGAUAAUCCGCAAAAAUACAGUAACUAUGAGCACAACUUAAAACAAAUUGACUUGAAUCCCAAUUUUAAGGGAUGAAAACAAUCUUUGUACACAAUUACUUAUUGGUUGGAAAACAUACCCCAACCAAGUUGAUCAUCAUGAUGCACAUGAUCAAGAUGCAUCUCCCAAGCAAAAAUUAGCAAAGAAUAAAAUGCUUAAAACUUUGGUAAGCCAUGAAUAUUGUGUGCUCAAAUUAAUCACAAGUGACAUGAAAUAGCCUACAAAUAUGGGAAAUGCACUUGUAAUAGCAAGCGAAUAAUAUUAUGACUAUCUUGUAGAUACAUUUAGGUCACUGGUCAAGUAGUCCACAAUUAGAUGUCGAUUAUGCUCACAAAUACGCUUAAAUUCUCGAGAAGAAAAUGGGAAUCCAAGAUCAAUUGUGACUUAGAUGGUCUAAGGACCAAUUUUCCACAUGACCAAUCCUUGUAAAGGCGUGCACAAUGCAAUAGGGCUAGGUUCGCUUUAAAACGGUUAAACCGAAACCGAAUCAAAAUUUCGGUUCGGUUCAAUUUUUUUCGGUUCGGUUUUGGUUUUUUUUGGUUUGGUUUCAAUCCGGUUCGGUUUUUUCCAUGAAUUUUUUUUUUUAAUCUGGAACAAAUCUGCAACAAUUGAUUAAGCACUGAAGAUGCAGAAGCUUCUGCAUAAAAUGAAUACGAACUGGGACGAUCGGUCAUGGAUAUGACAUUAUUGGGUGUCGGUGAGUCUUUCUUGUUGUGGAUCCAAGAGUUCUCGUAGAGAAAAAAAAACACAUGCAUUGAUGGAAAUUUUGUGAAAAACAUGUUCAUUUGAGCAAGAUCUAUGGCAUGCAAUUAACAAUUAAAGGCGGAAUCAUGCUUGUAUGCACUCAAAAACAAAACAUUACCCAUGAAAUUCAAAGCCUAGUAGUUAUGUGAACCAAGACUCAACUCAAGAACAAAGUGAGUUGAGAAAUCUUAUACCUUUGUUGAUUCCUCUUUGCAUAAGCAAAGGCUAAUCACCCAAGGAGAGGGCCUUCAUUCCUUGCUUCUUAGCUCCAUGAAUUUCUUGGAUGAGGAUGGUUGAAAGAAUUCUCCAAGUUCCCAAAGUUGAGAAACUCUAAUUUUUCCACACCAAGGAAAGACUCGAAGAAGAGAUGAGUGACCUUGGAGGAGGGAAGAUUGCUAGCUAAUCUCCUCCAAGGGGGCCAGCCUCCUAGAGAGAAAGGGAGAGACAUUGUGUUCUCAUCUUUUCUCCAAAAGAAACCCUAAGGAUGAAAUGGCUAUAAAGUUGUCUUUAUACCACCUCACAAUGGAAUGGCAAACUUGCAAUUAAGCCAAGCUCACUACCCCUCUCUAUAUGGCUGGCCAUUAAGGGUUCAUUGGGCUUUCAAGCCCUUUGUGGUUUCAAGUUGUCAUACAACUUGAGUUAAUGGGCUUGACAUUCAAAUCCCAUUGGACCUUGCGGCCCAAAACUAACCCGAGGUCUAUAACGAACUUAUUCGUUUGAUUAAUUAACAUAUUAAUUAAUCCUAGCCAUAAAUAAUUAAAUCAUUUAAUUAUCCUUACUCAUCUCUGUUGUUUCUUCAAUCUCUACCUUACAUGGUGUACGAUCCAUUAGGUUCCUUUUAGCGAGGCAGUGGGCAAUUAGAACUCUUUCAAAUCGAUUGUGAAUUGAAACUUACUUUCAAUUCUCCCUUUAGUGAUUAUACACGUUUAGGGCUUCCACAAACCAUGAGUGACACCUAGCAGUAUGUCAUGGUUACCCAAGCUAAUCAGAAGAGGUGGAGAACCUAUUCAGUUUAGGAUUACAAUGCAAUACGGUCUUUCUCUAAUACAAUACUCUUGACCACAUUGUUUGGUUUGAUAGUUUAUUCAUGUAUACUAUCCAAUGUGAUUCUCUUACUUAUAUGAUUACCUUGAAUGUGAUUUGGAACGAUUUCCUACAUCUCAUUCAUACUCUAGCCAGAGAUUCUUAAUCAUAUCAUAGAGUAUUCUCCCUUAAACGGUUUAAAGGUUAGAGAUCCCUUGUUGCGCAUUCACUUGCCUCCAUGGCUAAGUGGCUUAACCCCAACUAUGUCAUGGACACCCUCUGACAGAGUGACUUUGACAUAGUCAAAGAUAAAGGACCUAACCACAUGACAACUAUGAUGCCUCAGGUCAAAUGACUACUUUGCAUUAUCCCAACCUUGAGUUCUCAUGUGACAUUAGUAUGAGAACUCAUUCUUGAUCGUGUUCAGUAAACUCAUUUUCUAUUGAGCACCUACAUGCUUGUCUUGGUGUCAGUCACACCAAUGACUCGAGACCAGUCACUCUCUCUAAAAGAAGACAUAGCACGUACUGAUCUUAAUGGACUGUCAAUGCCCAAUUGGCAAUCCUAUGAUCAGGAACGUUUAAGAUAUGUAUACGAAAGAGAAUGGUCUCAUGAAUCUAACUUCUUUAGAUCGCAUUCUCCCAAUUACAUAUUCCUUGGACUUAUCAUUUAAGCGUAUAACAUUUAUAUGAGACGGCUUUAAACAAUAAUCUUUGCCCUUUAUAUUAAACUAUAUUAGUUUAACAUGUGAAAUGUCCGUAAAGUAUCAUCAUAUGAUUGGUUUUAGGGCACAUUUCCAACAUGCAUGUGUUAAUUCUUUGAUUUUUUCCAUGAAAAUAAACCCAAUAGAACUAAAUACCAGCCAGCCAGGGAGAUUUUUACCUUGGGGGUUUGUUUUUAGUCCCAAACAUCUCGUCACUCGUCAGCCAUGGCAACACCUAUGCAUCUGCUGCCAAAUUGGAAGAUUAUAAUAUGCAAAAUCCCAACAAAAUAAUUAAAAGAAAAACCCAUUUUACGUGGACAUUAGUUGUGCACAUAAUAAUUUAUAAAUACAAAUCCAAUAUUUUUUGGUUUCAUGGAAUUUACAAAACCAAUUAUUAACCAAGGUUGUAUUUUCAAAGGUUUAUGAAAAAACCGUGGGAAACAAACUAGGAGCUGCUGAUACAUAUAUGAACAAAAGAAAAAUCAUUGCUUAAUCAUAUAGUCUAUUAAUUCAAUAAAUCACAAUAUAAAAUUAUAAAUCAUAUUUGUUUUUAUUAAAAAAUUACCUGUGAGAGAUCGGAAAACCCGGAUUAGAAUCUUCCAAUUUGGAGGGGGUUCCGAUUCGAAAAGGGCAAGGGAAAAUCAUGGUUUGGAAGAUGAGGAGGAGGACAGGAGAAGACUGGAGACUGGAGAGAGUGAUUUGGAGGAAGAGAGGAAAGGGAGAGAGAGAGAGAGAGAGAGAGACUGAGGAACCAAAGGUAAAAAGGAAGCAACGGAGGGGAGAGAGAGAGUGAGUGUUUGAGAUCUGAAAUAGGAAAUGGGAAAU
This 4842-nucleotide long non-coding RNA is filed under the name Malus domestica (apple). Its description in RNAcentral is "long non-coding RNA (MDOM_LNC015377)". Lineage: Eukaryota; Viridiplantae; Streptophyta; Magnoliopsida; Rosales; Rosaceae. The record is from RNAcentral.